This 77-nucleotide transfer RNA is filed under the name Candidatus Neomicrothrix sp. Its description in RNAcentral is "tRNA-Thr". It matches the Rfam family "tRNA". From Rfam's summary of the family: Transfer RNA (tRNA) molecules are approximately 80 nucleotides in length. The record is from RNAcentral. Lineage: Bacteria; Bacillati; Actinomycetota; Acidimicrobiia; Acidimicrobiales; Microthrixaceae.
GCCUCCUUAGCUCAGUCGGUAGAGCGUUUCCAUGGUAAGGAAAAAGGUCGUCAGUUCGAUUCUGACAGGGGGCUCCA